RNAcentral lists this unclassified non-coding RNA (262 nucleotides) under fungal sp. RNAcentral's name for it is "partial contains small subunit ribosomal RNA, internal transcribed spacer 1, and 5.8S ribosomal RNA". The stretch from base 1 to 46 matches the Rfam family "Eukaryotic small subunit ribosomal RNA", at positions 1786 to 1831 of the family's 1831-position model. The record is from RNAcentral. Lineage: Eukaryota; Fungi. RNAcentral also lists the same sequence under 1 other name.
AAGUCGUAACAAGGUUUCCGUAGGUGAACCUGCGGAAGGAUCAUUACCGUGUUCUGGGUCCCCUCGGGGGCCCGACACCCCACCCUUUGUAGUUACAUGACUAUCGUUGCUUUGGCGGGACGGCCCCCUCACGGGGUGCCGCCGGGCCCCAAAUCGCCCGGAGAGCUCCCGCCGGAGGACCACAAACACUAGCCUUUGAACCAGUACGUCAGAGUAAGAAUUUAAUAAUUCAAAACUUUCAACAACGGAUCUCUUGGUUCUG